AACAUUCAAUAGAAAACAACGUAAACCAAAGUAUCUGAUCUUGGAUUCGAAUAUCGAAUAUCGAAUAGAAAAGGAGAAAAAGAGUAAACAGAAAAUUCAAUUGCAACACUUAUUGACUUUCUUGUUAAUUGUUUUCGCUAUUUAAUUAAUUUACUCUCUUCAACGGCAAAUAGUUAAUUAUGUCCUCAACAACGAAGCCAACCAAUUAGAAGAGCUGAUUCGCCGUAAGAUCGAUCGAUCGGCCGCAAAUCGAGCUGCUGCUUUUGUUCAGCAAAGGAAACGUGCGAGAAUCGCUGGGCUCGUUUUGUCAAUGAUCUCUGUUGGAAUUUAUGGUUACACGAUUUACACUAUUAAACAAGAAAAGCUAUUUGAUGAUUUAGAGCCAACGGAUGUUUCAUCUUCUACUAAUAAAUUGUAAUUGUUUUUCUAGAUUUUUGAAUUUAAAUUAAAGAGAAAAGGUCGUUGUAAAUAAGAGAAAUAGAAAAAAAAAUAUUUAACAAGCAAAAUGUAAAUGGAUAAAGCGAAAUUAGAUGAUUUUAAUAAAGAAUGAUAAUGGUGACUUUUGAA
This is a long non-coding RNA of Panonychus citri (citrus red mite), 567 nucleotides long. RefSeq lists it as uncharacterized. NCBI's taxonomy places the organism in Eukaryota, Metazoa, Arthropoda, Arachnida, Trombidiformes, Tetranychidae. The record is from RefSeq and is a predicted model, not a curated record. The transcript is spliced from 2 exons.